UUCACCAGCUAGUCAGUCAUAAAACAGCUAAGGUUUUUGCAAAUCAGCUCUAAAUCAACUGCUCUAAGAAAAGCAGGAAUAGAGCUGAUUUACAGCGGUCACUAGCAACACUGUUUUUAUUUUUUCUAAAAAUCUGGCAUCACGUCUGUCAUUUUGAGUGAGAGUGAGAGAGAGUGAGCGGGAAGGAAAACAAAACAAUACAAAGCUCUCGCUCACUCGUAGUGAAAUCAACAUGGGAAUAUCAGAACUGGAAAAAUUUUGGACUCCUUUUUUACUAUUUUAGAGUCAACAGCUGUAUAAUGGAAUUCCAAUAUUCCAACGACGGCGAGGAAACACCACCUGUUGAAAUCAGAAUCUGGCAUUGGCAGGUACGACGAUCCACGAAUUCAACGCUGAAUUGUCCGGAUUUGGAGGACACUUCGUGGUGCCCCAGAUGCAUGUACGAAAGCGAGUACCGUGUUUUAAGUUUGUGAUAAUUUAACUGUGCGAUGCGCGGUGCGACGUUUGAUAAUUAUUAAUAAAAAAUGGUUUUGAGCCUAAA
Molecule: long non-coding RNA, 541 nt
Organism: Culex pipiens pallens (northern house mosquito)
Lineage: Eukaryota; Metazoa; Arthropoda; Insecta; Diptera; Culicidae
Exons: 2
Source: RefSeq, a predicted model, not a curated record